RNAcentral lists this transfer RNA (75 nucleotides) under Dialister sp. RNAcentral describes it as "tRNA-Arg". It matches the Rfam family "tRNA". From Rfam's summary of the family: Transfer RNA (tRNA) molecules are approximately 80 nucleotides in length. Their secondary structure includes four short double-helical elements and three loops (D, anti-codon, and T loops). Lineage: Bacteria; Bacillati; Bacillota; Negativicutes; Veillonellales; Veillonellaceae. The record is from RNAcentral. RNAcentral also lists the same sequence under 2 other names.
GCGCCUAUAGCUCAGGGGAUAGAGCACCAGUCUCCGGAACUGGGAGCGAGAGUUCGAAUCUCUCUAGGCGCUCCA